Molecule: long non-coding RNA, 338 nt
Organism: Hordeum vulgare subsp. vulgare (domesticated barley)
Lineage: Eukaryota; Viridiplantae; Streptophyta; Magnoliopsida; Poales; Poaceae
Exons: 3
Source: RefSeq, a predicted model, not a curated record
UGCUCAAAGAAACAACUGAGCUGCCUCGUGCACAAGGAAAAAUAAACAAGCUAGGAAAUGCCCAAGCUAGGUGUAUUCCAUGGCCACGCAAAAAUAUUAUGCAAACAGAUGAUACUACCCUGCUGCACUCUAAGGUUUCUAGUGUUUGUAGUCAGAUGUCAGUCAACAAUAGCGAGAAUGUGGAUCCCAACAAAAUAACUACUGGAACUCAGGUGACCAAGCAUCAGACUGAUUGCAGUACUUUAGAAGGUGCAGUGAGGAAUACCCUGAAGAGAAAGAAAGUUUUUGAGACAACAAAAAUGAAAAAAGGUACUCAAGCAAUCUCUCCUACAACCGGA